RNAcentral lists this ribosomal RNA (253 nucleotides) under uncultured bacterium. RNAcentral describes it as "partial 16S ribosomal RNA". It matches the Rfam family "Bacterial small subunit ribosomal RNA", at positions 524 to 776 of the family's 1533-position model. The record is from RNAcentral.
CACGUAGGGGGCAAGCGUUGUCCGGAUUUAUUGGGCGUAAAGCGCACGUAGGCGGAUCGUUAAGUCGGGGGUGAAAUCCUGGAGCUCAACUCCAGAACUGCCUUCGAUACUGGCGAUCUUGAGUCCGGAAGAGGUGAGUGGAACUCCUAGUGUAGAGGUGGAAUUCGUAGAUAUUAGGAAGAACACCAGUGGCGAAGGCGGCUCACUGGUCCGGUACUGACGCUGAGGUGCGAAAGCGUGGGGAGCAAACAGG